CCUACGGGAGGCAGCAGUGAGGAAUAUUGGUCAAUGGACGCGAGCCUGAACCAGCCAAGUAGCGUGAAGGAUGACUGCCCUACGGGUUGUAAACUUCUUUUAUAAAGGAAUAAAGGCAGGCACGUGUGCCUUUUUGUAAGUACUUUAUGAAUAAGGAUCGGCUAACUCCGUGCCAGCAGCCGCGGUAAUACGGAGGAUUCGAGCGUUAUCCGGAUUUAUUGGGUUUAAAGGGAGCGUAGAUGGGCUGUUAAGUCAGUUGUGAAAGUUCGCGGCUCAACCGUAGAAUUGCCAUUGAUACUGGCAGGCUUGAGGACAGUUGAGGUAGGCGGAAUGUGUGGUGUAGCGGUGAAAUGCUUAGAGAUCACGAAGAACCCCGAUUGCGAAGGCAGCUUACCAAACUGUGACUGACAUUGAUGCACGAAAGCGUGGGUAUCAAACAGGAUUAGAUACCCGGGUAGUC
RNAcentral lists this ribosomal RNA (460 nucleotides) under uncultured bacterium. RNAcentral's name for it is "partial 16S ribosomal RNA". It matches the Rfam family "Bacterial small subunit ribosomal RNA", at positions 338 to 795 of the family's 1533-position model. The record is from RNAcentral.